UAUGGCGGGGCGGCUGCACCCGUUCCCAUUCCGAACACGGCCGUGAAACGCCCCAGCGCCUAUGGUACUUCGUCUUAAGACGCGGGAGAGUCGGUCGCUGCCAGGU
This 106-nucleotide ribosomal RNA is filed under the name Rhizobium sp. Root1220. Lineage: Bacteria; Pseudomonadati; Pseudomonadota; Alphaproteobacteria; Hyphomicrobiales; Rhizobiaceae. The record is from RNAcentral.